AGUGAACGCUGGCGGUAGGCCUAACACAUGCAAGUCGAACGGCAGCACAGUAAGAGCUUGCUCUUACGGGUGGCGAGUGGCGGACGGGUGAGGAAUACAUCGGAAUCUACUUUUUCUUGGGGGAUAACGUAGGAAAACUUACGCUAAUACCGCAUACGACCUACGGGUGAAAGCAGGGGAUCUUCGGACCUUUCGCGAUUGAUUGAGCCGAUGUCGGAUUAGCUAGUUGGCGGGGUAAAGUCCCACCAAGGCGACGAUCCGUAGCUGGUCUGAGAGGAUGAUCAGCCACACUGGAACUGAGACACGGUCCAGACUCCUACGGGAGGCAGCAGUGGGGAAUAUUGGACAAUGGGCGCAAGCCUGAUCCAGCCAUACCGCGUGGGUGAAGAAGGCCUUCGGGUUGUAAAGCCCUUUUGUUGGGAAAGAAAAGCAGCAGGUUAAUACCCCGCUGUUCUGACGGUACCCAAAGAAUAAGCACCGGCUAACUUCGUG
Molecule: ribosomal RNA, 492 nt
Filed under: uncultured bacterium
Lineage: Bacteria
Description: partial 16S ribosomal RNA
Rfam family: Bacterial small subunit ribosomal RNA
Source: RNAcentral